Tribolium castaneum (red flour beetle) is the source of this 490-nucleotide long non-coding RNA. RefSeq lists it as uncharacterized. The transcript is spliced from 2 exons. The record is from RefSeq and is a predicted model, not a curated record. NCBI's taxonomy places the organism in Eukaryota, Metazoa, Arthropoda, Insecta, Coleoptera, Tenebrionidae.
AAAGGACGGCUGGAGACUACUGAAAAUACAUAACAAAAAUAUUUCAGCAAAUUUUCGAAUCAUGAAUUUUUUUAGCGAAAAACUAAUUAAUUUUCGACUAAGCACCAUUUGAAAAAUUUUAUUUGGUUUUAAAAAAUGUAAAUGAACAAAGUUAAAUAUUUAAUCUACUUUAUUUGUAAAGUCAGAUUUGGUGGUUGUUAUCAGUCCAAAGUGAUAAUUUUUGAGUAUAUAAAGUUACUGAAAAUUGCAAGGCGACACAAACACAUUUUGGAAACGUAACACAAUGUUGAAAUACUUCAAAGUAGUUGCCUUUGCCGUUGUAGCUUUAAGUAGUCUCAUCAUGACUGCUUAUGCACAAGGACAAGGACAAGGACAAGGACAUAUAGUGGAAUAAAGAUCUUACGCAAGAGUUUUACUCUGAUUUACAGAUACAUCUAGUAUGUAAUAUUACAAUUUGAGCUGAAAUAAUAAACUAUCUGAAAGCAAUAAA